Molecule: ribosomal RNA, 244 nt
Filed under: uncultured bacterium
Lineage: Bacteria
Description: partial 16S ribosomal RNA
Rfam family: Bacterial small subunit ribosomal RNA
Source: RNAcentral
GGCAGCCUACGGGGGGCAGCAGUGGGGGAUAUUGCACAAUGGGGGAAACCCUGAUGCAGCAACGCCGCGUGGGUGAAGAAGCGCCUCGGCGCGUAAAGCCCUGUCAGCAGGGCAGAAAAUGACGGUACCUGAAGAAGAAGCCCCGGCUAACUACGUGCCAGCAGCCGCGGUAAUACGUAGGGGGCAAGCGUUAUCCGGAUUUACUGGGUGUAAAGGGGGCGCAGACGGCGAUGCAAGCCAGGAG